AGUAAAGUCAGCUAAAUAAGCUUUCGGGCCCAUACCCCGGUUAUGUAGGUUGAACUCCUUCCUUUACUA
RNAcentral lists this transfer RNA (69 nucleotides) under Nealotus tripes (black snake mackerel). Its description in RNAcentral is "tRNA-Met". It matches the Rfam family "tRNA". From Rfam's summary of the family: Transfer RNA (tRNA) molecules are approximately 80 nucleotides in length. Their secondary structure includes four short double-helical elements and three loops (D, anti-codon, and T loops). The record is from RNAcentral. Lineage: Eukaryota; Metazoa; Chordata; Actinopteri; Scombriformes; Gempylidae.